UUAGGUGGUUACAGCGGCAGGGUCCCACCUCUUCCCAUUCCGAACAGAGCCGUUAAGCCUGCCCGCGCCGAUGGUACUGCAAUG
This 84-nucleotide ribosomal RNA is filed under the name Prevotella illustrans. Lineage: Bacteria; Pseudomonadati; Bacteroidota; Bacteroidia; Bacteroidales; Prevotellaceae. The record is from RNAcentral.